UCAAGCAUUGCAUCGCUCGGUUUGACACCCACCGCCAAUGCAAUGCGGCGGUGUUGUCGUCGAUGCGGAGAGUGGCCCGUCCUGCAUUGCGCGGCGGGUUGAAGAGCGGGAUGUCUUCUUCCCAUGGCAACGAUCGAUAGAUGGGUGGUAGGAAGCCCCUGUUGGCCCUCGACAUCGCGCGUUCGACUCGUGGAAAGAUGCACGUAUCCCAUGCUAACCCAACUCAAGUGAUGCAUGCAUGCGACACAUUGAAGUGCGACCCCAGGAUGGGCGGGGAAACCCGCUGAGUUUAAGCAUAUC
RNAcentral lists this ribosomal RNA (300 nucleotides) under Pachites bodkinii. RNAcentral describes it as "eukaryotic LSU rRNA". Lineage: Eukaryota; Viridiplantae; Streptophyta; Magnoliopsida; Asparagales; Orchidaceae. The record is from RNAcentral.